Molecule: small nuclear RNA, 104 nt
Filed under: Castor canadensis (American beaver)
Lineage: Eukaryota; Metazoa; Chordata; Mammalia; Rodentia; Castoridae
Source: RNAcentral
GUGUUCGCUUCAGCAGCACAUAUACUAAAAUUAGAAUGAUAGAGAGAUUAGCAUGGCCCCUGUGCAAGGAUGACACGCAAAUUCAUGAAGCGUUCCAUAAAAAU